RNAcentral lists this ribosomal RNA (201 nucleotides) under Staphylococcus epidermidis. RNAcentral's name for it is "partial 23S ribosomal RNA". It matches the Rfam family "Bacterial large subunit ribosomal RNA", at positions 1479 to 1678 of the family's 2925-position model. The record is from RNAcentral. Lineage: Bacteria; Bacillati; Bacillota; Bacilli; Caryophanales; Staphylococcaceae.
AGGAUAGGCGAAGCGUGCUGUUGGAGUGCACGUCCAAGCAGUAAGGCUGAGUGUUAGGCAAAUCCGGCACUCAUAAGGCUGAGCUGUGAUGGGGAGAGGAAAUUGUUUCCUCGAGUCGUGGAUUUCACACUGCCGAGAAAAGCCUCUAGAUAUAUAACAGGUGCCCGUACCCCAAACCCACACAGGUAGUCAAGAUGAGAA